UGCUUCUCUGCUGACGAGCGGCGGACGGGUGAGUAAUGCUUGGGUAUCUGCCUUGUGGUGGGGGACAACAGUUGGAAACGACUGCUAAUACCGCAUAAUCUCUACGGAGCAAAGUGGGGGACCUUCGGGCCUCACGCCACAAGAUGAACCCAAGUGGGAUUAGCUAGUUGGUAAGGUAACGGCUUACCAAGGCGACGAUCCCUAGCUGGUCUGAGAGGAUGACCAGCCACACUGGAACUGAGACACGGUCCAGACUCCUACGGGAGGCAGCAGUGGGGAAUAUUGCACAAUGGGCGCAAGCCUGAUGCAGCCAUGCCGCGUGUGUGAAGAAGGCCUUCGGGUUGUAAAGCACUUUCAGUCGUGAGGAAAGGUAGCGUGUUAAUAGCACGUUGCUGUGACGUUAGCGACAGAAGAAGCACCGGCUAACUCCGUGCCAGCAGCCGCGGUAAUACGGAGGGUGCAAGCGUUAAUCGGAAUUACUGGGCGUAAAGCGCGUGUAGGUGGCUUGUUAAGCCAGAUGUGAAAGCCCCGGGCUCAACCUGGGAACUGCAUUUGGAACUGGCAGGCUAGAGUUUUGUAGAGGGUGGUAGAAUUUCAGGUGUAGCGGUGAAAUGCGUAGAGAUCUGAAGGAAUACCGGUGGCGAAGG
RNAcentral lists this ribosomal RNA (647 nucleotides) under Motilimonas sp. RNAcentral's name for it is "bacterial SSU rRNA". It matches the Rfam family "Bacterial small subunit ribosomal RNA", at positions 78 to 721 of the family's 1533-position model. Lineage: Bacteria; Pseudomonadati; Pseudomonadota; Gammaproteobacteria; Alteromonadales. The record is from RNAcentral.